This 234-nucleotide ribosomal RNA is filed under the name uncultured bacterium. Its description in RNAcentral is "partial 16S ribosomal RNA". It matches the Rfam family "Bacterial small subunit ribosomal RNA", at positions 96 to 334 of the family's 1533-position model. The record is from RNAcentral.
UGGCGGACGGGUGAGUAAUGUCUGGGAAACUGCCGAUGGAGGGGGAUAACUACUGGAAACGGUAGCUAAUACCGCAUAACGUCGCAAGACCAAAGAGGGGGACCUUCGGGCCUCUUGCCAUCGGAUGUGCCCAGAUGGGAUUAGCUAGUAGGUGGGGUAAAGGCUCACCUAGGCGACGAUCCCUAGCUGGUCUGAGAGGAUGACCAGCCACACUGGAACUGAGACACGGUCCAG